GAAGCACCCAAACUGAUGGCUUGCAGCUGUAGUGAGGACUCGCAUGCAUCGCAAUACUAUACAGCAAAAGAUUCAACAAGACUCUUCUCCAAAUGUUUAUGAUGUAAUAUCUUGAGGAGAAAUUCCUCAGUGUCCUACAGACAUGUCCAACCUGGCCACAGCUCCUCGACUGAUGAUGCAGCCUAUGAAAGAUGAAAACUCCUGGUUUCAUCAUGACAGAGUGAAAUCAUAAGAGUGAGGUACAGAGGAAGUGAACAGAAUGUGUGUAAGAAGAGGAGAAGACCGGUGCAGCAUUGAUGAAGCUGCAUGUCUGACACACUGUUGCCUCUCUGUUAAAUGAUAAAUAUUUCAGGACGCCCUGGUAAGUGAACCAGUACAGGUAAGCUCAUGCACAAGCAGGAGUAGUAGGCUGAAAGUGGAAGCACAAGCAAACAAACACUCCAACACACGGUGGAUCAGUUUGUGAUGUGAUCCACCAGGGGACAUGGGAAAUGUAUUCAGCUAAUGAUAUCAAGGGAGCAGCAACAUUUGCAUUGCAAAAUAUCACAGAAAAAUGUUCAAACUCACUGUCACCUUGGUAUACACGUCACCUUUUAAAGCGUCUAAUGGAGCAAUGCUACAGGAAAAGCUCAAUUCACCCCCCUGAGUUCACCCCAGAGGAGUUAGUGGUGUGUAGAAGGUGUGUGAUUGGUUCAUUACACGGCCAAUUAUGCCGAACUAACCUACACCAGACAUGUGAGCAGCAAACCCGUGGUCCUGCAAGGAUAACAAGACGAGAACUACACUGCACAGGACUUACAUGAAGACAAGAAGGUUAUCUUUGGGUUUUUUUCAUAUUUUUUCAUAAAUGUGCUUCCUGAGACGCCAUUUUUAAAAGAGUUAAAUAUCCAGUAAGAAUUCACCCUUUACAUAAUCACAUGCAUCCAGGGAUUCAUAAGCAAGCAGACUCAUUUAAUUCAUUAUGUGUUAUCUCAAACCUGUUCACAUGAAAAACUUACUUUGUUGUUUUGCACCAGAAUGUCAAACAUCUUAAUGUAAAAAUGUCCAGAUGCCAUUUUGGUGGAUGCUUUGAUUCAAGUGAUUUCUUGCUCCAUGUGAAAAUGUAAAUUAAAAGGACACACAUCAGAGAGAGAGACAUGGGUUAGAAACACUGAUUGCAACAAACAGAGUGGGAGGGGUGGUCACAGUUUGGCACCUGCCAGAGAUGCUAACACGCAGAACUCUGGAGGUCCAGUAUAUAAACAAUCUGAGUUAAACAGGAUUAGAUUAUCACGAGCAACAUAUUCCAACUGUAUAUGAAAAAGCCUCAUCUUGGGAACAAUUAAAAGUCUGUCCUUGAAAUAUAUAUAUAUAUAACGCAAAGACUUGGAUGAAGAAAAAGGUUACAAAAUGCAAGACAAUAAAAAGUCCCAUUUCUCUUUACUGCACAUUUUCUGCGGUCAAAUAUGAAAACAGAAAAAGGUGGGUCUGAGAUAGAGUAUAUCACACUGCUGAAUUCCAUAUUGUUUAUCUCGUUUACACUAACAGUUGUACAAUAUACUGUGGCAUUAGUUUUUGGAUAUUUUAAAAUAGUUCUUAAAGAAAUAAUGUUAUAAAAUCAAAUUAAAAACUUUCUCUUCUAAUUAGCAUCUUGCUUUUAAUGACCGGCAGACUGCCGAUCGUAUACUGUACGCUGCCACUGAUUUUGGAAAUCGUGAGACCAUGAACGUCUACAGGCUUUAAGCUGCAAAACAACAUAAAGCAUUUGAUGGAGCAAACCAAAUUCAAAUUAACCUCUGGAAACCUCAUCUGAGGAUUCAUUAUCGGCAUUCUAUAAAACUUAACGAGGCCUGUUUCAGCAGCUGCUGCGGCUGGAGGAGCGCACCGGCUCUGAGACUCGGAGGCAGCCGCCUCCGCCUCCUCUGCUUCUCUGUUUUCAGCCCUCUCCCUCUAUCUAUCUGGCUCCUCUGCCCCAGAAGUCGAGCCUUUGCAUCAGCUCUUCAGAGGAGGGUGUUGGUGAAUUCUUGGCCCUCAGUUCACUCGGAUCUCCGCCUUUUUUUCCGCUCAGUCCGGAUGCUCACGGCUGCAUCCUUCGCCUCAGAGAACUUCAGCCCAUCGAUGUGCCGCUCAUCUUCCAAAGAGGCAGGCAGUUAAUGCUUUAUUUAAGUCCAAGGCCCUUCUCCAACUCAGUGACCCUCUACCCGCAACUACAGCUUGCCUGAACACAUUUUCUUUAUAUUAAUUAUUGAUCAAAGGGAUAUUCCCUAAAUCCCAGCCACCAGGUUGUGCCUGACCUUUCUUAAGUGACCUUGACCUUGACCCUUUCCCCCACAGAGGUCCAGCUGGAUUUGGUCAAAAGACCAACCAAGCAAACAGCUUACUGCUCUGUUGCCUAGCAACAAAUCUGUGAAUAUAACGUUUAUCACAGCGGGGAUUUGCAUUUAAAAUGUUGCGUGAAUUGAACUAAUUUACUUUUCUCCACUCGGUUGCUUCUGAAAAUGUUGCCCACUCAUUUUUUCCCCAUUAAACCCAUAAACCUUUUCACAUUUGACCCAGUAAUGACAUAAUUCAAUAUUUCUGAUGACUAUCUCAAAUUACAAUUAAACGUCACUGUAACCCUCCAAACUGCAAAGGAAACAAAAUGGCAAAAGCAAUAUCACAACCUCCACUCUUUCUUCUCGCUCUUCCUUCCUCCCGCUCUGUGGCGGCGGCAUCAGCGGCCAUGUGACGAGGAUGCAGAUUCUCUCAAAGCCAUUAAGUCUAAAUAUCAGUCCUGACUUUCGGAUCACAUUCUAUCUGCCUCGAUUACACUGACUACGGGUAACAACCUAUAAGAACAGUUUUGUAGAGAUGAAAACUACAAAAAGACGUCCAUAGAAAUGUAGGUUGAUAUGAUAAACGAGUAUCCCAUAAAACUCCACCCUUGUUCAAGUAUGUGACAGAUGACUAUUACUAUUAUAAUACUAAUACAAUACCAUAGUGUCCAACAUCCUGGUUAUGGCUCCGUCCACCGAGGCCUCUCUCAGUCCAGCGAGCUUGUCCCAACUAUGAUUUAUAAUUCUCUAGGAAACAACAGAUUGAUGUGAAACAUUAAUACAGUUGUACAAGCAAUAAAACUGUCCUUCAUCAUAAAUUAUAGCAUAACCACAGGCCAAAAGUGUAUUGAUAUUCCUAUAAUACAAUCCACUAACCCCCUGGACAAAAGGAAUAGUAUUUUUGUUUUGAUUUACAACGGCAGGUCAACAAUUCCUCUGGUGUUCUCAGACAAAACUAAUAGAAAUCAAUAUUUUGACAUUUAACUGUAUUUUCUUUGAGAUAUAUAUAUUAUAUAUAUAUUAUAUAUUCAUAUUCAGUGUUAUCCAUUUAUUUUUUCAUUUCAAAUAAGCACAUGGAAUUAAAUCAUGUGGAAAAAGAUGACUCGCAGUAGAAUGACUGAGUUUUGUGUUGACUCAUAUUUAUCGUCUGAUGUGUUUUUGUUUAUCCUUUGCCAGUUUGGUGGUUUUGUGAAAGCUUCCCAGAUUAAAAAGGGCUCUUUCUCAUCCUUUGCACGUAUACUUUUAGCUUCUACCUUCAGGGCAUAACAAGCAAGUGCCACAAGAAAUGUGUACAGCAUGUCAUAUUUUAUAUUUGUUCUCAUUUAUAAACUAAUGCUUACUUUUC
Long non-coding RNA from Scophthalmus maximus (turbot), 3639 nucleotides. RefSeq lists it as uncharacterized. Lineage: Eukaryota; Metazoa; Chordata; Actinopteri; Pleuronectiformes; Scophthalmidae. The record is from RefSeq and is a predicted model, not a curated record. The transcript has 3 exons.